RNAcentral lists this ribosomal RNA (507 nucleotides) under uncultured bacterium. Its description in RNAcentral is "bacterial SSU rRNA". It matches the Rfam family "Bacterial small subunit ribosomal RNA", at positions 791 to 1296 of the family's 1533-position model. The record is from RNAcentral.
UAGUCCACGCCGUAAACGAUGUCUACUUGGAGGUUGUGGCCUUGAGCCGUGGCUUUCGGAGCUAACGCGUUAAGUAGACCGCCUGGGGAGUACGGUCGCAAGAUUAAAACUCAAAUGAAUUGACGGGGCCCGCACAAGCGGUGGAGCAUGUGGUUUAAUUCGACGCAACGCGCAGAACCUUACCAGGGUUAAAUCCACUAGAACUUACCAGAGAUGGUUUGGUGCCCUUCGGGGAAUUAGUGAGACGGUGCUGCAUGGCUGUCGUCAGCUCGUGUCGUGAGAUGUUGGGUUAAGUCCCGCAACGAGCGCAACCUCUGUCGUUAGUUGCCAGCAUUAAGUUGGUGCACUCUAGCGAGACUGCCGACGUUAAGUCGGAGGAAGGUGGAGACGACGUCAAGUCCUCAUGGCCCUUAUGCCCUGGGGCUACACACGUGCUACAAUGGCUGACACAAAGAGCUGCGAAACCGCGAGGUGGAGCCAAUCUCAAAAAAUCAAGCCUCAGUUCGG